Molecule: ribosomal RNA, 499 nt
Filed under: uncultured bacterium
Lineage: Bacteria
Description: bacterial SSU rRNA
Rfam family: Bacterial small subunit ribosomal RNA
Source: RNAcentral
AACGAACGCUGGCGGCGUGGAUAAGACAUGCAAGUCGGACGCUGAUUGCCGGGUAGCAAUAUUCGGCGAUCGGAGUGGCGAAAGGGUGCGUAACACGUGGGCAAUCUGCCGUGAAGUCGGGGAUAACUUGCUGAAAGGCGAGCUAAUACCGGAUGUGGUUUUGGGAGGGCAUCUUUCUGGAACCAAAGUUGGGGACCGCAAGGCCUGACGCUUCAUGAUGAGCCCGCGGCCUAUCAGCUAGUUGGUGAGGUAAUGGCUCACCAAGGCAAAGACGGGUAGCUGGUCUGAGAGGACGACCAGCCACACUGGAACUGAGACACGGUCCAGACACCUACGGGUGGCAGCAGUCGAGAAUUUUUCACAAUGGGCGAAAGCCUGAUGGAGCGACGCCGCGUGGGGGAUGAAUGGCUUCGGCCCGUAAACCCCUGUCAUUUGCGAACAAACCUUUCCACCCAACACGUGGAGAGCUGAUUGUAGCGAAAGAGGAAGGGACGGCUAA